AACGAGCGCUGGCGGCAUGCCUAACACAUGCAAGUCGAACGAGACCUUCGGGUCUAGUGGCGCACGGGUGCGUAACGCGUGGGAACCUGCCCUUAGGUUCGGAAUAACUCCCCGAAAGGGGUGCUAAUACCGGAUAAUGUCUUCGGACCAAAGAUUUAUCGCCUUUGGAUGGGCCCGCGUUGGAUUAGCUAGUUGGUAGGGUAAAAGCCUACCAAGGCGACGAUCCAUAGCUGGUCUGAGAGGAUGAUCAGCCACACUGGGACUGAGACACGGCCCAGACUCCUACGGGAGGCAGCAGUGGGGAAUAUUGGACAAUGGGCGAAAGCCUGAUCCAGCAAUGCCGCGUGUGUGAUGAAGGCCUUAGGGUUGUAAAGCUCUUUUACCCGGGAUGAUAAUGACAGUACCGGGAGAAUAAGCUCCGGCUAACUCCGUG
RNAcentral lists this ribosomal RNA (433 nucleotides) under uncultured bacterium. Its description in RNAcentral is "partial 16S ribosomal RNA". It matches the Rfam family "Bacterial small subunit ribosomal RNA", at positions 29 to 507 of the family's 1533-position model. The record is from RNAcentral.